AAGCCGCAAGCAGGACGAUAAAAACAAACAUGCCCAAGAAGAAGUUGCGUGUUUGAAUCGCUCGGAAGUACGUAGUAAAUUUGUUCGCGAUCGUGGUCCGCGGCCAACUUUAUCGGAUUUUGUUUCCCGAUUUUGGAUUCAACAGCCAAUUCGGUCUUUUGGCUUUCCGGACGGCGUCGCUGCUUCAUCUUUCCAGCAUACUGGGAGGUGGGAAAUCUACGUCAGGAAUCUGAAGUUGCAGAAGUUGCGGUUGUUUUUCAGUGAUAGUCCCGGUCCCAAGUACAGAUUCUAAUCGGCUGUAUUGAGCUACCUGCAGCAGAGCAGUCUACUACGGAAGGUGUAAAUAGUUCAGUUAUGGUGCCGGUUUUAAGUCAGCCACCGAGAGAAACCUGCAGGACGAGAAAAAAACGUCUGUUGCCGAGAAGAAUAUUAAAAUUCAUCAAGUGAAAAUAACGAAAUUAUGCAUUAAAAAUUAUUUUUCGAUUAUUAAAUAAAAAAAAAACAAAAUGUCA
Uranotaenia lowii is the source of this 512-nucleotide long non-coding RNA. RefSeq lists it as uncharacterized. The transcript is spliced from 2 exons. The record is from RefSeq and is a predicted model, not a curated record. Lineage: Eukaryota; Metazoa; Arthropoda; Insecta; Diptera; Culicidae.